CUUCAUCACUAGCCUUUUAUUAUUAACACUUAGAACUAAUUAACAUUAUUCAUUAUGACUCAUUAAUACAGCCUUGGAUCAUGUAUAGGCGGUGUGUGUGUGUGUGUGUGUGUGUGUGUGUGACGAGCUUGUUGAAACGAAACAGCUUCACAAAUCUGCUUCGUUCUCGUUCAAACAAGCAUUCAUCUUUACAUAUCUAGUUUCUUCCCUUCUCUAACUAUAUAUUUUACCAGCUAUUCAGAGACACAACGUCAACACAAGGACAGGACGAACAACGCCUUGCUAGCCUAUUAAUCCUAGCCUAUGACAUACUUUUUUUUCUCCUAGUACAAUCUGCCCCCCUCGCUCUCUCCCUCUCUCUCUCUCUCCCACGAAAACUAUAUGAUAAGUUCUUACAAUGCUUUCCUACUGACAAGGGACGUUUUAUUAUGGAAAAGACUGUGUUUAAUAUUAAAUCGAUGUGUGUAUGUACCCUAAUGCACAUAUUACAAGCUCCCUUCCAUGGCCGUUCCCUUGAGGUCAGUUCCAACAGUGUCACAAACUCUCCCUUUCCCAGCCAUUCCCUUUGAGGUCAGUUUCAACAGUGUCACAAACUCUCCCUUUCCCAGCCAUUCCCUUUGAGGUCAGUUUCAACAGUGUCACAAACUCUCCCUUUCCCAGCCAUUCCCUUUGAGGUCAGUUUCAACAGUGUCACAAACUCUCCCUUUCCCAGCCAUUCCCUUUGAGGUCAGUUCCAACAGUGUCACAAACUCUCCCUUUCCCAGCCAUUCCCUUUGAGGUCAGUUCCAACAGUGUCACAAACUCUCCCUUUCCCAGCCAUUCCCUUUGAGGUCAGUUUCAACAGUGUCACAAACUCUCCCUUUCCCAGCCAUUCCCUUUGAGGUCAGUUUCAACAGUGUCACAAACUCUCCCUUUCCCAGCCAUUCCCUUUGAGGUCAGUUUCAACAGUGUCACAAACUCUCCCUUUCCCAGCCAUUCCCUUUGAGGUCAGUUUCAACAGUGUCACAAACUCUCCCUUUCCCAGCCAUUCCCUUUGAGGUCAGUUUCAACAGUGUCACAAACUCUCCCUUUCCCAGCCGUUCCCUUUGAGGUCAGUUCCAACAGUGUCACAAACUCUCCCUUUCCCAGCCAUUCCCUUUGAGGUCAGUUCCAACAGUGUCACAAACUCUCCCUUUCCCAGCCAUUCCCUUUGAGGUCAGUUUCAACAGUGUCACAAACUCUCCCUUUCCCAGCCAUUCCCUUUGAGGUCAGUUUCAACAGUGUCACAAACUCUCCCUUUCCCAGCCAUUCCCUUUGAGGUCAGUUUCAACAGUGUCACAAACUCUCCCUUUCCCAGCCAUUCCCUUUGAGGUCAGUUCCAACAGUGUCACAAACUCUCCCUUUCCCAGCCAUUCCCUUUGAGGUCAGUUCCAACAGUGUCACAAACUCUCCCUUUCCCAGCCAUUCCCUUUGAGGUCAGUUCCAACAGUGUCACAAACUCUCCCUUUCCCAGCCAUUCCCUUUGAGGUCAGUUCCAACAGUGUCACAAACUCUCCCUUUCCCAGCCAUUCCCUUUGAGGUCAGUUCCAACAGUGUCACAAACUCUCCCUUUCCCAGCCAUU
This is a long non-coding RNA of Eriocheir sinensis (Chinese mitten crab), 1601 nucleotides long. RefSeq lists it as uncharacterized. The transcript has 7 exons. NCBI's taxonomy places the organism in Eukaryota, Metazoa, Arthropoda, Malacostraca, Decapoda, Varunidae. The record is from RefSeq and is a predicted model, not a curated record.